Molecule: non-coding RNA, 28 nt
Filed under: Gallus gallus (chicken)
Lineage: Eukaryota; Metazoa; Chordata; Aves; Galliformes; Phasianidae
Also listed under: 7 other names
Source: RNAcentral
UCGGGGUUUCGUACGUAGCAGAGCAGCU